Molecule: long non-coding RNA, 636 nt
Organism: Pungitius pungitius (ninespine stickleback)
Lineage: Eukaryota; Metazoa; Chordata; Actinopteri; Perciformes; Gasterosteidae
Exons: 3
Source: RefSeq, a predicted model, not a curated record
CGAGUGGGAUCCAGUUCUGGUAUUGUUCUUGGAAGUGGGGCCUAACAUGCUCCAUCUCCUGCUUGUAACAAGAGUUACGAAAGUGGAGGAUCCCAGAGCUGUCGUGAGUCAGAUCUCGCAGGAGGCCCAGCUGUGCGUCCCGGCGGUCGCGGCGCUCCUGCCAGCUCUCCAAGAAUGUCGGAAACAGACGCUUCUGGACGUCUGUGACGUCCACUGCCAUCGUGACCACAACGUCAGGGAAAAGCUGUUUCCCCAACAUGUACUGCACCUCAUCGGGAUUGUGGGGGAAGCCCUCCAAAAUAAAACCUGUAGAUCUUCAAGAUGGAGAACGGUCAGGUUUAACAAACACUUUGUGUUGCCAGGUGAACAAAAUAGAUACAUGUCCAAGUAUAUUACUGCACAUGGGGCAGGAUGAGAGUGUAUUUUAUGUUGAUAUACAACUACAUGUAUGGCUCCUGUUUCCAGUAUGGUGCGAUAACCAUAUCCAGGAUCUGUGGAGUCAGUGGAUCUCCAUCAGACAGGGAAGUUCAUCAAAAGCUGACCUCCUUUUCACUUAUGUUGGAGGAGUCUUCCUCCAGCUCCUUCGUCUCCUCCUCAACCGUCCCCCUGGCUUCCUCUAUCAGGGCCUCCAAAUCC